UACGUAUGGUGCGAGCGUUAUCCGGAUUUACUGGGCGUAAAGGGAGCGCAGGCGGCGCGCCAAGUCUGAUGUGAAACCCCGGGGCUCAACCCCGGGCAUGCAUUGGAAACUGGCGGGCUGGAGUGCCGGAGAGGUAAGCGGAAUUCCUAGUGUAGCGGUGAAAUGCGUAGAUAUUAGGAGGAACACCAGUGGCGGAGGCAGCUUACUGGACGGCAACUGACGCUGAGGCUCGAAAGCGUGGGGAGCAAACAGG
RNAcentral lists this ribosomal RNA (253 nucleotides) under uncultured bacterium. Its description in RNAcentral is "partial 16S ribosomal RNA". It matches the Rfam family "Bacterial small subunit ribosomal RNA", at positions 524 to 776 of the family's 1533-position model. The record is from RNAcentral.